Molecule: ribosomal RNA, 253 nt
Filed under: uncultured bacterium
Lineage: Bacteria
Description: partial 16S ribosomal RNA
Rfam family: Bacterial small subunit ribosomal RNA
Source: RNAcentral
UACUGAGGGUGCAAGCGUUAUCCGGAUUCACUGGGUUUAAAGGGUGCGUAGGUGGGUAGGUAAGUCAGUGGUGAAAUCCCCGAGCUUAACUUGGGAACUGCCGUUGAUACUAUCUAUCUUGAAUAUCGAGUAGGUAAGCGGAAUAUGUCAUGUAGCGGUGAAAUGCUUAGAUAUGACAUAGAACACCAAUUGCGAAGGCAGCUUACUUCAAGAUUAUUGACACUGAGGCACGAAAGCGUGGGGAUCAAACAGG